Rattus norvegicus (Norway rat) is the source of this 142-nucleotide small nuclear RNA. Ensembl annotates it as U1 spliceosomal RNA. The record is from Ensembl. Lineage: Eukaryota; Metazoa; Chordata; Mammalia; Rodentia; Muridae.
AUAUUUACCAGGAAGGGGAAAUACUGUGAUCAUGAAGGUAGUUUUCCCAGGGCAAGGUUUAUCUAUGACGCUCUGGAUGUGCUGGACCCUGUGAUUUCCCCAAAUUUGUGGUAGUUGGGGACUGCGUUCAUGCUUUCUCUUG